This 214-nucleotide ribosomal RNA is filed under the name uncultured fungus. RNAcentral's name for it is "partial small subunit ribosomal RNA". The stretch from base 37 to 214 matches the Rfam family "Eukaryotic small subunit ribosomal RNA", at positions 684 to 864 of the family's 1831-position model. Lineage: Eukaryota; Fungi. The record is from RNAcentral.
GGAUCAGUACGUUGGUCAUGCCUUGGUAUGUACUGGUGUUACUGAUUUCUACCUUCUGACGAACCGUCAUGUCAUUAGUUUGGUGUGGCGGGGAAUCAGGACUGUUACUUUGAAAAAAUUAGAGUGUUUAAAGCAGGCUCACGCUUGAAUACAUUAGCAUGGAAUAAUGAAAUAGGACGUUGAUCUUAUUUUGUUGGUUUCUAGGAUUGACGUA